Molecule: ribosomal RNA, 427 nt
Filed under: uncultured bacterium
Lineage: Bacteria
Description: partial 16S ribosomal RNA
Rfam family: Bacterial small subunit ribosomal RNA
Source: RNAcentral
GUGGGGAAUAUUAGGCAAUGGGGGCAACCCUGACCCAGCGACGCCGCGUGAGGGAAGAAGGCCUUAGGGUCGUAAACCUCUGUUGUGUGGGAAGAAGGAAGUGACGGUACCACACGAGGAAGUCCCGGCUAACUACGUGCCAGCAGCCGCGGUAAUACGUAGGGGACGAGCGUUGUCCGGAAUUACUGGGCGUAAAGGGCGCGUAGGCGGUCAUUUAAGUCAGCUGUGAAAUGGUCCGGCUCAACCGGAUCAUGCGGUUGAAACUGGAUGACUGGAGUGCUGGAGAGGCAAGUGGAAUUCCCAGUGUAGCGGUGAAAUGCGUAGAUAUUGGGAAGAACACCGGUGGCGAAGGCGACUUGCUGGCCAGCAACUGACGCUGAGGCGCGAAAGCCAGGGGAGCAAACGGGAUUAGAAACCCGUGUAGUCC